Dreissena polymorpha is the source of this 664-nucleotide long non-coding RNA. RefSeq lists it as uncharacterized. The transcript is spliced from 3 exons. The record is from RefSeq and is a predicted model, not a curated record. NCBI's taxonomy places the organism in Eukaryota, Metazoa, Mollusca, Bivalvia, Myida, Dreissenidae.
UGUUGCUAUCAUGACUGAAUUUUAUCUGCCUAAAAUAUUGUAAAACCAUAUCUAAUAAAAUAUGAAGCUGUGUGUGUGUUUUGUGAUUUUGAUAAAGGAUUGAUGCUGUGCUUAUAUAUUUUGCUAUCAUUGGACUUGAUGUUACAAGGAGCAGCUAGAAAUUGUGAUUUGCUUUGCCAGCACAGACAUAUAUAGACAGAAUUAUAAUACAUUACGUACAGCACACAUGCGAUACGGAACAAGGAUGUUAAAAAGAGACUGUGAUUAUUACUAAUACAAAUGUUAGGUGAAGUGGGAAAGCAGGAAUAAACUGCAUACAAAACAAAUAUAAAAUAGUUAGAAAAAUAGAAAUUUGAAAGUGGAUAAUUGUGCAUCAUCCCACAAUAAUAAUUGGGAAAUAGGCAAUAAUAAUUAUUAUAUGUGUCAAAUAUGUGUCAAAAGAUAAAUUUAAUUAGUGAAUACAAGACAGUUGUUUAGAUGACAAUCACUUGAUGUUAAGCAGUGUAUCAACAAACUAGUGAAGAACAUCUUAUCCCAGCUAUUUUUAUGAUAGACAAAUUAAGACUUUGUAAGAUGACAAUAUUGAAUCCUUCUCUAAGUGGAUGCUGUCUGUUAGCAGUCAGUGUGUUGACAGUACUUGCGGGUCCAGUAACAUACAUAGACC